UACGAAGGGGGCUAGCGUUGCUCGGAAUCACUGGGCGUAAAGCGCACGUAGGCGGAUUGCUAAGUCAGGGGUGAAAUCCUGGAGCUCAACUCCAGAACUGCCUUUGAUACUGGCGAUCUCGAGUCCGGGAGAGGUGAGUGGAACUGCGAGUGUAGAGGUGAAAUUCGUAGAUAUUCGCAAGAACACCAGUGGCGAAGGCGGCUCACUGGACCGGUACUGACGCUGAGGUGCGAAAGCGUGGGGAGCAAACAGG
Molecule: ribosomal RNA, 253 nt
Filed under: uncultured bacterium
Lineage: Bacteria
Description: partial 16S ribosomal RNA
Rfam family: Bacterial small subunit ribosomal RNA
Source: RNAcentral